AUGGACUCUGAAGAAGAUUCAUCGGUACAACACGUUAAUGUUGAACAGAACACUACAAAGGGCACUAAAAAGUCUAGGACUAGGAACACAUGUCGCGUUGUACAUUCUGAUGAAGAAUCAGAAGAGGAUAGCCAAGAGAAAGAUGAAUGCAAAUUCAAGGAAUCUAGACCCAAAAGAAAGCGUACAAUAAGCAUUACUGAAGAUGAAGAUUCCGAAAAAGAUGGAAUUGAGAAUUAUUCAAAGACCAGCAUAACGCUUACUGGUGUUGAUAAGGGAUCUAAGAAGAAAGGAAUUCAGAAUAAUAACCAUGAGCAAGUGAACAAAUUAUCACUUUCAAAAACUAUAAAGCAAGAAUCAGAGGAUGAUGAACUCACUAUUGACCAGACUAAAAGGGGUAGGAGACGGAGCACAAGUCGUGCUGCACAUCUUGACGAUGAAUCAAAAGCUGAAGGUAGUCAGGAAAUAAACAAAUCCAAAUAUAUGGAAUCAAGCCCCAAGAGGAAGCGUGUUGUACGCAAAUGUGCCGGUGUUGAUCAGGAGCACAAUGAUUCAAGGCCUAGGACAAGGCUUAGUUGUGUCGAUAAAAAAUCACUGAGCAAAGGCAUUCAGAAGUCUAGUGUAUUAAGGACUCGAAAGACAAGUCACUAA
RNAcentral lists this ribosomal RNA (648 nucleotides) under Triticum aestivum (bread wheat). RNAcentral describes it as "partial small subunit ribosomal RNA". Lineage: Eukaryota; Viridiplantae; Streptophyta; Magnoliopsida; Poales; Poaceae. The record is from RNAcentral.